GUAGACAUAGUUUAAUCAAAAUAUUAGUUUGUGAAUCUAAAGAUAGGGGUUAAACCCCCCUUGUCCACC
RNAcentral lists this transfer RNA (69 nucleotides) under Sphaeramia orbicularis (orbiculate cardinalfish). RNAcentral describes it as "tRNA-His". It matches the Rfam family "tRNA". From Rfam's summary of the family: Transfer RNA (tRNA) molecules are approximately 80 nucleotides in length. Their secondary structure includes four short double-helical elements and three loops (D, anti-codon, and T loops). The record is from RNAcentral. Lineage: Eukaryota; Metazoa; Chordata; Actinopteri; Kurtiformes; Apogonidae.